AGUGAACGCUGGCGGUAGGCCUAACACAUGCAAGUCGAACGGCAGCACAGUAAGAGCUUGCUCUUACGGGUGGCGAGUGGCGGACGGGUGAGGAAUACAUCGGAAUCUACUUUUUCGUGGGGGAUAACGUAGGGAAACUUACGCUAAUACCGCAUACGACCUACGGGUGAAAGCAGGGGAUCUUCGGACCUUGCGCGAUUGAAUGAGCCGAUGUCGGAUUAGCUAGUUGGCGGGGUAAAGGCCCACCAAGGCGACGAUGCGUAGCUGGUCUGAGAGGAUGAGCGGCCAAACUGGAACUGAGACACGGUCCAGACUACUCCGGGGGGCAGCAGUAGGGAAUCUUCAGAAAUGGGCGCAAGCCGGAAGGAGCAAGGCCGCGUGAGUAAUGAAGGUCUUCGGAUCGUAAAACUCUGUUAUUAGGGAAGAAAAUAUGUGUAAGUAACUGUGCACAUCUUGACGGUAAAUAAUAAGAAAGACACGGCUAACUACGUG
RNAcentral lists this ribosomal RNA (492 nucleotides) under uncultured bacterium. RNAcentral describes it as "partial 16S ribosomal RNA". It matches the Rfam family "Bacterial small subunit ribosomal RNA", at positions 29 to 507 of the family's 1533-position model. The record is from RNAcentral.